RNAcentral lists this ribosomal RNA (468 nucleotides) under uncultured bacterium. Its description in RNAcentral is "partial 16S ribosomal RNA". It matches the Rfam family "Bacterial small subunit ribosomal RNA", at positions 28 to 507 of the family's 1533-position model. The record is from RNAcentral.
GACGAACGCUGGCGGCGUGCUUAACACAUGCAAGUCGAACGGAAAGGCCCUGCUUUUGUGGGGUGCUCGAGUGGCGAGCGGGUGAGUAACACGUGAGUAACCUGCCCUUGACUUUGGGAUAACUUCAGGAAACUGGGGCUAAUACCGGAUAGGAGCUCCUGCUGCAUGGUGGGGGUUGGAAAGUUUCGGCGGUUGGGGAUGGACUCGCGGCUUAUCAGCUUGUUGGUGGGGUAGUGGCUUACCAAGGCUUUGACGGGUAGCCGGCCUGAGAGGGUGACCGGCCACAUUGGGACUGAGAUACGGCCCAGACUCCUACGGGAGGCAGCGGUGGGGAAUAUUGCACAAUGGGCGGAAGCCUGAUGCAGCAACGCCGCGUGCGGGAUGACGGCCUUCGGGUUGUAAACCGCUUUCGCCUGUGACGAAGCGUGAGUGACGGUAAUGGGUAAAGAAGCACCGGCUAACUACGUG